Humulus lupulus (European hop) is the source of this 838-nucleotide long non-coding RNA. RefSeq lists it as uncharacterized. NCBI's taxonomy places the organism in Eukaryota, Viridiplantae, Streptophyta, Magnoliopsida, Rosales, Cannabaceae. The transcript has 2 exons. The record is from RefSeq and is a predicted model, not a curated record.
UCCAAAAAAAUUACCACAAUAUCAAUCCGAAAGCUCCGACCAUAGCCCACCACAAUCAAACAUAAUCAAUCCAUUUAUCAAAACAAAAAAUUAAAUCAUACAACCCACCACAAACACUGUUCAUCACUAUAGCAGCUCCGACCAUAGCCCACCCCAACUUCUGCACAGUAGUCAACUGAAAGCUCUGCCCAAUCUCUCACCAUCCUGCACAGUAGAGGUCUUGUUCUUCACAGUGAAACCCCCAAGCUUCGUUAUCAAAGAAGAUGAAGGUAGAGGUCACGCCUCCCCAUUGCAACCUGUCGUCGCCGAGAUUUGCCUUCAAGCAUGCCCAGAUCCGAAGCUGUGAAUCAUGCUGCUGCUUGUGACGAAGAAGAAGAUGAGGAAAGGAGAUGUGGAUGACGUGACAGGAAUUUUCGACACGUGGCAGAGAUGCUGCUCGCCUAUCGACCAGAGAUAUUUCCAUAUGCGAUGUUCAAGUUUUGUAUACGACCAGCCUAGUCGUAUACUCCGUUUAUUUAUGUAUAAAUUUGUAUAGUUGUAAUGAUAUCCGAGAAUAUCUCUUCAUUAUAACCUGAAUAUCCGUUUAUUAAGAAAAUAUAUGAUUAAUUGACUCAUGUAAUCCUUUUUUAGCCUAUAAAUAGUCAAGACAUAGCUCAAGGGGGAUCUUUGGAUCUUUUUCCGAAUUGUAUUGCUAUUAUCCAUCGUCUGUAUUGUUUCUCCUUCUAAGGUCUGUGAAACUCAGGAACCCUAGUUCUUUGAUCACACAUUUGAAACUCAAUAUUAAUAAUAGUAUCAAGUGGACGUAGGUCAUUACCAAUCACUGAGGCCGAACCACUAU